This 252-nucleotide ribosomal RNA is filed under the name uncultured bacterium. Its description in RNAcentral is "partial 16S ribosomal RNA". It matches the Rfam family "Bacterial small subunit ribosomal RNA", at positions 525 to 776 of the family's 1533-position model. The record is from RNAcentral.
ACUGAGGGUGCGAGCGUUAAUCGGAAUUACUGGGCGUAAAGGGAGUGUAGGCGGUUACUUAAGUCGGAUGUGAAAUCCCCGGGCUCAACCUGGGAAUUGCAUUCGAUACUGGGUAACUAGAGUUUGGUAGAGGUAAGUGGAAUUCCGGGUGUAGCGGUGAAAUGCGUAGAUAUCCGGAGGAACAUCAGUGGCGAAGGCGGCUUACUGGACCAAAACUGACGCUGAGGCUCGAAAGCGUGGGUAGCAAACAGG